GGGCAGCCUAGCGACCGGCCGGGCCUUGCACCGACUGCCCCUCGAGUGCCUUCCCGGCCUCCGACCGGAGGUGGCCUUUCUUUAGGAAGUCGGAGAACCUGCCGCGCCCCUGACCCUCCCGGGGCCUCCGAGGAACGCGAGGCUCCGGCGGGAAAAGCGGCGCUGGGGAAGCGGCCUGAACUGGACUCCGUGGGUCUCUGGGGGGGGUCCCUCCAAGCGACUGACGCCCCACUGUGGGCUGUCUGUCCAUGUCCCCUCCGCAUCGCGAGCUGCAAAUCAGCGGGCACCAGCCAGGCGACUUCGCAAGAUAAAUCAAGGUAACCGCAAAGGGACGAUCUGGGACCCACGUCGGCGACCCGCCGCUUCCCAGGCCGGGUGAGUACCCCAGAGUCAGCUCUGGGGCGGACACUGGCCACGCGCAGGGGUUGAAGCCGGGCUUACUGUGGCCACGGGUAAGCUGCUGGACGGGGUCUGGUUCCGAAAGCUCACACUCGGUCACGACUCGCUCACACCACUACCUUGUUAUCUAGGAGGAAAACACCUACGGAUUCCAUGGUCAAGCUUACCUAACUGCUUGCCCUUGCAUCUAACCCUAGGAGAAGACCCACAGAUCCGCUCCAGGGCUCAGCAGCUCCUUCCCCCCACUCGGGGAGAAGAGCCUUUAUCCUUUUUUUUUUUUUUAAUUUUGUUUUAUUUAUUUAUUUAUUGGUACCAGGAAUUGAACCCAGAGAUGCUUAACUGCUGAGCUAUAUUCCCAGCCCCAGAAAUUCCCUUUUCUGUGUUUGAUUUUUUUCCCCACCGCUUGAGAUUUAUGUCCCUUCCAGCUGAUGCCCUGUCGCCACUGUCCUCUCGUUCAUCCAACCUGUCAGUCACACUACAUUUCAUUCUCUUGUAGGCAGUGAUCUUUCUUCCUUCUGUGUCUUUGCACAUUCUGUUCCUUGACCUAGAAUGCACUUCUUCUGUUGAAGUAGUCUUUCAAAAUCAGCUUCAAAUAUUGCAGGAGAGAGAGGUCCCUCACUCCAGGAGGGGGAUGGGUGAGGCAGCGGGUUCAAUUCUUGGUUCCUGGUUCUGUGCUUGCCCCUUAUUCAGCAUUUAUCCCUUGUUCCUCUGAAAAUCCUUCAGUCAUUUAACAUCACUUUACUAGGCACCUAAUGUGUGCCAGUGUGUGAAGCACAAAUAAGAGCCCCUUCCUGCAGCUGUCAGUCAGUGGCAGGGGUGGGUGGCAGCCAGAGGAUGGAUGCCUCAACAAUCAUCCCAGUGUUAGGCAUUACUUGUUAAUAUAGUCUUCUGAGGGCAGAGAACAUGUUUUAUACACCCCUAUAUUGCUGGUUAGUUGAAAUGAAUGAGAGAGCACUCGGCAGGUAAAAUAAUGGGCAGGAACAUUGGGUAACUUCACAGGAUGAAAUUAAAAAUAUCAAUAACUAUAUGAAAAGAUCCUGAAUCUCAUUACAUCAGGGAAAUGCUGGGUAAAGCUGCAGUGAGCUACUUCCUAUCCACUCAACAGGCACCAUUAACCACUGGAUCAGAACAGGUAGGAGCAAGGACAAAGAGCAGCUUGUCAACUGCAGGAAGCCAGUUUGCUUUUACCCAGGAAAGAUGUGAACAUACAUACACACUCCACAAUUCAGCCACUCCACUCCUACAGGAGGACACACAUACAAGAAGUCCGUAGAUGCACUAUUUGUAAUAGCCCCCAAACUUCUGGAAACAACUCAAAUGUUCAUCAAAGUAAAAUGGAUAAAUAAAUGGUGGUAUAUGCCUAUGAUGGAAUAUUGUAUAGCAACACAAGAGAAAUACUACAACUGCAAACAACAAGGUGGGUAAUUAUCUAAAUGAAAUUGAGAGGAGCCAUAUACACAUUAUAUAUGAUUUCAUUUAUGUAAAAUCCCCAAUCAGGCAAAACUAAACUAUGAUACGCCCUGCAUAAAGACAGGAUGGUUUACCUUUAAGGAGGAAAUAGGGGGUUUUGACUGGGAAGGAAUAUUCUGGGUGCUGGGGAUGUUCUAGUUCUUGAACGGGUAGUAGCUAGAUAAGUUUGCUUUCCAAUAAUUCAUUAAGUUAAACAUUUAUAUUUUAUUCACAUUUGGUGUGUACAUGAGUGUAUUUCACAAUUUUAAAAAGGUUAAGAAAGAACAAAUCUUCCUGCAGCGACUCCAGCCCAUUUCCCCAUGUUCUUUUCUCCACUGAAGCAACAUGAGUCAGGUCUUACCUCACUUCCUUGUCUUCUGGAUAAAUAAUCUCAAAGUCUUUAACCUUCUUCAGGAAUGAUCCAGAAGCGCUUCGGCUGCUUCCCAUCCCUUUUAGUCUAACAUAGUAUAGAGCGCUGAAGCUGAAAGGAGAAAUGUCUUUUCUAAAGACGGUCAGUUUGUGCCUGGAAAGAACUGCUGCUGUCAUUUAAUCUUAGCAGCUCAGGUAACUGCCAAGAGUCUUGUUCAUCUCCUCCUCCUCCUCAGUAAUUGUUUUAAUUCCCCCGGGGCUGGGAGGUGGUGACUGAAAUCUUUGUGCUGUUCUAUUGUAGAGAGAUGGAGCUGGAGGAGUUGGGUGAAGCUCUUUUAAAAAUUAACCAAAAGUAGGCUGGGGCUCAGCGGUAGAGCACUCCCCUAGCACGGGCGGGGCCCUGGGUUCCAUCCUCAGCAUCACAUAGAAAUAAGUAAAUAAAAUAAAGGUAUUGUGUCCAACUACAACUAUAUAUAAAAAUAAUGCCAGGCGAGCACGCUACCGCUUGAGCCACAUCCCCAGCCCCUUGGGGUUUUUUUAA
This 2758-nucleotide long non-coding RNA is filed under the name Marmota monax (woodchuck). Lineage: Eukaryota; Metazoa; Chordata; Mammalia; Rodentia; Sciuridae. The record is from RNAcentral.